CCGACCAAACGGACAAAUUCGGACGAACCAAACUCACAUUUGAUUUCCUCUUCUGCCGGUGUUUCCUCCUCGUCAUGCCACGGCAGUCGGCAGCCAGUGAGUGAAGUCAGUAAGUCACCACAGACCACACAAAUGCUUCCGACCACGGCGACCGCCUCAACGCCUCCGCCGCCACCGGCCCCGCCGCCUGGCGAGCCGCACGCUGCCCUGUUCCUCGCCCUGGGCUACAUGCGGCUGCCUGAGCUGCUAGCCUGCUGGCGCGUAUGCCGCCUCCUCGGCGAGGCCGUCGCGGGGGACCCCCUCCUGUGGCGCCGCCUCGCGGUAGAGCCGCCGCUCAGCGGCCGGGUGACCGACCAAGUCCUCCUCAAGCUGACUGCGAGGGCGGAGGGGACGCUGCGGUCUCUCCGCCUGUUCGGGUGCCUCCACGUUUCCGACACCGGCCUGCUCCGCGUCGUCGAGCACAAUCCCUGCGUCACCGAGAUUUAUGUUCCUGGAUGUACAGGCUUGACUGGUGAUGGGGUGGUGAACAUUGUUCAGCUUCUGCACGAACACAAGGGAAAUAUAAGUCGUCUCCGACUCGAUGGCAUUAGCAGGAUGAGUAAGCAUCAUCUUGAUAUUAUCAUGUCUCUCAUGUGCAAAGGAAACCCACAAGGGCAACAAGAUGGAAUCCCACUUUUCUACAACCAUAGAGCCCGUGAAGCGCUGAACACCAAUGAUGAACGCCCUAUUGAUGUUGAUGUUUGCUCAGUGUGUGCGAAUGUCAGGCUUGUGUUUGAUUGUACGAGGGAUGACUGUAGGAAAGUGAGGGACAGCUUGUGGCGGUGCCGAGGCUGCUACUUCUGCUUUCCUAGAUGCGAAAAAUGUGGUGGCUGUAUCAGUCCGGAGGAUCUAGUCGAGGCUGAUCUUGCUUGUUCAGAUCUUAUGUGCUUGGAUUGUUGGCUUACGGUCCCUAAAUGCAGCACAUGCAAUCGGCCUUACUGUGAGAGGCAUGAAAAUUUGAUGGUGUCCUUGUCGAUGGCUGGCCAGUUUUCAUGCCAGCGUUGCAAGGAGCUCGGCUCAUCACACGAGAGUCAGGAAGAUGACUAUUAGAAGUGAGCUUUCCACCCCUCUUCUGUUACUGCAAACACUUGAGGUACUUACUAAGAAUUCUGUACUAGCAUUUGCUAUUGGAUUUUACCGACGCUUCGAGCUUACAAUGCUAGCUGAACAUAUCAUGAUGCUGAAUUAUAUACCGAUGUUUGUCAAAUGAAGCAGAUACAUAUUUCAUGGACCAGUUAAACUGAUUGUUUGAAUGACAGUCCAAUGGUCACAACUGGUGUACGCAUGCCAGUGGACGCCUUAAUUUUGCUGGCAUUUUGA
RNAcentral lists this ribosomal RNA (1359 nucleotides) under Triticum aestivum (bread wheat). Its description in RNAcentral is "partial small subunit ribosomal RNA". Lineage: Eukaryota; Viridiplantae; Streptophyta; Magnoliopsida; Poales; Poaceae. The record is from RNAcentral.